RNAcentral lists this long non-coding RNA (236 nucleotides) under Homo sapiens (human). Its description in RNAcentral is "non-protein coding lnc-TRMT61B-1:8". The record is from RNAcentral. Lineage: Eukaryota; Metazoa; Chordata; Mammalia; Primates; Hominidae.
AUAAUGUCUGUGCCUAUCAGAUAAAGGCAAACCAGUGCUCAGAGGAACCCAACCAUCUCUGAAUUGAGACCAGAGAGCUGUCUCUAUGGAUAGUCCUUAGAGAAGGCAUUUCGGAACACAGUAAACAGCAGCCUGGUGACUCCGAUUACAGGGCCAGUUGCCUUUGUUACAAUAAAAGCAAGUCAUCUACACAGGCUGGAGUGUAGUGCCAUGAUCUCGGCCCGCUGCGAUCCCCA